UCACUUGGACCGCAAUCCCUCUCAGCCUGCCUCUCCACACUCGACCUCUCCCCAGAAUGAAGGCUUCCAUCGUUAUUUAUAGAUGGGGAAAAGAACUAUGCAAAUUUUAGUUGGUUUGAAAUCUGACGAAAUUCAAUUGAUUUGAAAUCUGAAAGCUUGUAGAAGUCGAAAUCGAAGUUGGAACUUAAUUGAUUUUGAGUCUGAUUUCUUGUAGCAUCUUGUCUUUUCUGUACAGUGUUAGGAAUCUUUUUGUAGAUGAACAGUAGUGAUGUCAGAAAUUAUCCUGUAGCUUUCUUAUCAUCUUUAGAUCCUAACGUA
Molecule: long non-coding RNA, 318 nt
Filed under: Elaeis guineensis (African oil palm)
Lineage: Eukaryota; Viridiplantae; Streptophyta; Magnoliopsida; Arecales; Arecaceae
Description: long non-coding RNA (EGUI_LNC033711)
Source: RNAcentral